GAUUUUGUUCUCGGUGAUUGGGCAUAUUGAUUUUGAUGCAUCGCCUGAUCUCAUUCUCAUAGAGGAUAUCAAUGGGGUGAAUGCCGGUACUCAACCUAUUGAUGCACAUGGACAUGAUGACUUUCUAGCGUUUAUGGACUAACCAACCUGUAAUCAUGGACCUUAUUGUCUUGUAGACCAUUUGGUGUUUCGAGUGUUUUGGAGCUUACACUUUGUGCAUGUAGAUACAAACUUGUGUGUUCUGGACCAUCUGAAGUAUCUCAUAGUCCUUAUCUUUUUGUGACUUGUGUGUUCUAGAUGAUUGUUAAGAUGGUCAAAACUAUGCUUCCUCUAGGUUAAUUUGUUUGUCAGCUUGCGUUCAAUGUACGUGCAUGUUUAUAAACAUAUUUUCAUUGUGGUGUAA
Hordeum vulgare subsp. vulgare (domesticated barley) is the source of this 403-nucleotide long non-coding RNA. RefSeq lists it as uncharacterized. NCBI's taxonomy places the organism in Eukaryota, Viridiplantae, Streptophyta, Magnoliopsida, Poales, Poaceae. The record is from RefSeq and is a predicted model, not a curated record. The transcript has 2 exons.